CGCUCCGCUCUAUGUUUGCCUCUUACAUUUAAACUCGCGGAGUUAGCGUUUUUCAACUCAUGAGUUUGAAAUGUUUGACCACUCUACAUGGAUUAUUGUUAUGAAAAUUGAUGAAAAAAAAUGUGUACACACACUCGCAAAAAUACGGAGGCUUAAACACCUUUCUUCUGGCCAAACCCGCUUUUCCCUGUCUGCAAAAAAAUUAAAAUUAAAUGUGCUUAGCUUCAAUAUCUUUGAUACUUUAAACAAUUACGUAGGUAUUUCUACAGGAUAACUUUGAACUUUAAAAUUCAGUCUAUUUUAAAAAUUUGUUUUUUUAACUCAAUUCAUGAGUGACGCUCUCAUCUAAUUCGGGCUCUUGUUUUUCCGUUUUUCCGAUUUUCGACUCUUCAGCAUAUGUAGUGCGCAUCAAAACGUAUGCACGCGCGCAGAUGGUCGUUAACUCCAAUUUUUCACUAAGCCUAAUGGAUCAUAUAAAACAUGUAUGGUAUGUUUAUAGGCACGUCGUUUACCUACGGAUUACGUUCAGCGUAGGAUUUCGGGAAAAUUUGCAUUGAGCAUUUAUCUUUGUUUCCAUAUCAUUUCGGGUUCCGCUCAGUCAUUUCACCUACGAGUAUACGCAACUUUGUAGCGUCAUUCUCAUUUUGGGGGUACCCGACUCCGGAGCGUACACUCUUUUUGCUACUGGACUGCUUGACUCGUUUACUUAACUGAGCACAUAUUGCUGUAAAAACUCUGGUGGUGCGUCCUGGCCCUGGUAGUCAAAUUUAGUCCCUUGGUUUGCCAAGUUUAUUUGAAUGAACUCUCUGUUCAGUGAAUCAGCCUGACGUCAGGCUGUAUUGGUUGACCGAAGGUAUUUCAUCGCACGUAGGACCAUCCUAUUCAUUUGUGCUUAGUUCUCUCGGUGCAUGUCGUUUUGUUUCAGCAUGAUGUUCUUCAGUCCAGUUUGUCCGUUUGAGAAUGUCGUUGUGGCGCUACGAUUGACGAUAUUUCAUUUCAGCUUGGUUUCGACUGCCCCCUUUUCACUAAGCGAAUAUUUCAUGGACGACUACUUUAGUAAUUGGCCUGGCGGACGGCCGAAAUUGCCAGCUUUGGUUCCGGACCACGUUGAUAAAUGGUACGGCACCCCACCUGUAACAACAACCGAUCCUCCAGACGAUGCCAUGAACAGACAACUGAAAGUCAGCGGCGUCAUCAUAUGGAAUAAAAACCCUUGCGAGCUUUACGAGGCAGGCUCCGAUAAAACAAGCAAUAGAGGUAGGCGGAAAGGAUGCGCCAACGCUGCAGGGCACCUGUGGGAUGCAGGCUUCCAGAAGGGAAGUUCCGACAUCUGCCCGGAUAUACAAGGUGCAGAAUGCUUCCAGUUUGUGAACCAUACGAAACCAGGGCGGUGCUACGCUAAAGUGAGAUACUUCAACGGCGCCAGGGGCUACGUAUUGCUUUAUACUUGCGCCCAAGAUUGGGCAAGGGUACAAACCACCAGAUUCCGCAACCCUUACGGCUUCAACGCCCAGGGACAGAGGCCAUUCGGACAGGGGGAGACUGGUGCAGCCACAAAUCCCGGUUGAAUGAACAAACGCUUUAACCCUUUUCAUUAGAUUUUAUUUUGUUUCUUUCUAUGUUUCAAUUUAGACAUAGGAUGGUAAUCAGGGCGUCUACCGGACCUCAAAAGUCCCCAAUGUCCCCGACUAUCCCCGAAAUUCCCUAAUUUUCUCGUUCAGGUCCCCAAAAAAUGACAAACACCGGCAUUUUCAAAUUUUCCCGCCAGCCGCGGCGGCGCGGUAUAACCAAGAAUAAAAAACUGAAGUUUCGCUUGAUUUUCGUAUUUUUUCAUCGGUUCAACAUGACUUGUAAAUUAGUCUUAUAAAAUACGCCUUUAAACGCUCUAACUAGCUCCCUUCACUAUUUCGGGGGGAAAAGUCCCCGAUUUUCUUGAAAAAACUCCCCUAAAAGUCCCCGAAAGUCCCCAAUUUUGGUUUUUCAUAACUGGUAGACACCCUGGUAAUAUGUAUUCCCUCGUCACGAAUUUAUUGUGUCUUUAGCACACAUAUACAAUCAUAUCCAUGUAAAAAAACACACACAAUAAAAUGGGUAAACUAGGCUAAA
This 2106-nucleotide long non-coding RNA is filed under the name Bemisia tabaci. RNAcentral's name for it is "lncRNA ENSSSA3NGG006047". The record is from RNAcentral. Lineage: Eukaryota; Metazoa; Arthropoda; Insecta; Hemiptera; Aleyrodidae.